CCAGACUCCUACGGGAGGCAGCAGUGGGGAAUAUUGCACAAUGGGGGAAACCCUGAUGCGGCGACGCCGCGUGAGUGAAGAAGUAUUUCGGUAUGUAAAGCUCUAUCAGCAGGGAAGAAAAUGACGGUACCUGACUAAGAAGCCCCGGCUGACUACGUGCCAGCAGCCGCGGUAAUACGUAGGGGGCAAGCGUUAUCCGGAUUUACUGGAUGUAAAGGGGGCGCAGACGGCGAUGCAAGCCAGGAGUGAAAGGUGCGGGCACAACCCGCAGACUGCACUGAGAACUGUAUGGCUGGAGUGCCGGAGGGGCAGGCGGAAUUCCUGGUGUAGCGGUGAAAUGCGUAGAUAUCAGGAGGAACACCGGUGGCGAAGGCGGUCUGCUGGACGGCGACUGACGUUGAGGCUCGAAAGCGUGGGGAGCGAACAGGAUUAGAUACCCCCGUAU
Molecule: ribosomal RNA, 445 nt
Filed under: uncultured bacterium
Lineage: Bacteria
Description: bacterial SSU rRNA
Rfam family: Bacterial small subunit ribosomal RNA
Source: RNAcentral